GAUGAAGAACGCAGCGAAAUGCGAUACGUAAUGUGAAUUGCAGAAUUCAGUGAAUCAUCGAGUCUUUGAACGCACAUUGCGCCCCCUGGUAUUCCGGGGGGCAUGCCUGUCCGAGCGUCAUUGCUGCCCUCAAGCACGGCUUGUGUGUUGGGCCUCCGUCCUCCUCCCGGGGGACGGGCCCGAAAGGCAGCGGCGGCACCGCGUCCGGUCCUCGAGCGUAUGGGGCUUCGUCACCCGCUCUUGUAGGCCCGGCCGGCACUUGUCGACACAUCAAUCUUUUUUCCAGGUUGACCUCGGAUCAGGUAGGGAUACCCGCUGAACUUAAGCAUAUCAAUAAGCGGAGGA
This 345-nucleotide unclassified non-coding RNA is filed under the name soil metagenome. RNAcentral describes it as "partial contains 5.8S ribosomal RNA, internal transcribed spacer 2, and large subunit ribosomal RNA". The stretch from base 1 to 120 matches the Rfam family "5.8S ribosomal RNA", at positions 35 to 154 of the family's 154-position model. The record is from RNAcentral.